Molecule: long non-coding RNA, 362 nt
Filed under: Ananas comosus (pineapple)
Lineage: Eukaryota; Viridiplantae; Streptophyta; Magnoliopsida; Poales; Bromeliaceae
Description: long non-coding RNA (ACOM_LNC000041)
Source: RNAcentral
CAAUCUUUUAUAUAUAUACAUAUAUAUAUAUAUAUAUAUAUGAGUGAGGCUACUAUGCUAUCGGAAGCACGGAGCCUUUUGUGCUUCCAGCUUGUUUUCGAUGUUGCGAUUUUCGAAUCGUCGAUCGGCUCCGUUAAACUUGAUCUAGAGUAUUUGGAGUACCUAGAAAAUAAAUUUUAUUAUUUUUCGAUAUCAUUUGCCUAGUGAUCGAAUAGGCUCAAAAUCAACAAAUUUCAAUGGUCGUAGUGAGCCGUUUGCAAGUUUAACGGUGUAGAAAUAUCCAAAUCACGUGAAAUUUUGAUAGAAAAUUCUUUAUACUAUAUAAAACAAGAUCAAUAUCUUUGAUUUAAAAUUUUAAUGUC